Molecule: ribosomal RNA, 402 nt
Filed under: uncultured bacterium
Lineage: Bacteria
Description: bacterial SSU rRNA
Rfam family: Bacterial small subunit ribosomal RNA
Source: RNAcentral
UGGGGAAUAUUGGACAAUGGGCGCAAGCCUGAUCCAGCAAUGCCGCGUGGAUGAAGAAGGUCUUCGGAUUGUAAAGUCCUUUCGGCGGGGACGAUGAUGACGGUACCCGCAGAAGAAGCCCCGGCUAACUUCGUGCCAGCAGCCGCGGUAAUACGAAGGGGGCUAGCGUUACUCGGAAUGACUGGGCGUAAAGGGCGCGUAGGCGGUUUGGACAGUUAGGCGUGAAAUUCCUGGGCUCAACCCGGGGGCUGCGCUUAAUACAUCCAGACUUGAGUGUGGAAGAGGGUCGUGGAAUUCCCAGUGUAGAGGUGAAAUUCGUAGAUAUUGGGAAGAACACCGGUGGCGAAGGCGGCGACCUGGUCCAUUACUGACGCUGAGGCGCGAAAGCGUGGGGAGCAAACA